RNAcentral lists this ribosomal RNA (497 nucleotides) under uncultured bacterium. RNAcentral describes it as "partial 16S ribosomal RNA". It matches the Rfam family "Bacterial small subunit ribosomal RNA", at positions 28 to 507 of the family's 1533-position model. The record is from RNAcentral.
GAUGAACGCUGGCGGCGUGCCUAAUACAUGCAAGUCGAGCGAACAGACGAGGAGCUUGCUCCUCUGACGUUAGCGGCGGACGGGUGAGUAACACGUGGAUAACCUACUUAUAAGACUGGGAUAACUUCGGGAAACCGGAGCUAAUACCGGAUAAUAUAUUGAACCGCAUGGUUCAAUAGUGAAAGACGGUUUUGCUGUCACUUAUAGAUGGAUCCGCGCCGCAUUAGCUAGUUGGUAAGGUAACGGCUUACCAAGGCAACGAUGCGUAGCCGACCUGAGAGGGGGAUCGGCCACACUGGAACUGAGACACGGUCCAGACUCCUACGGGAGGCAGCAGUAGGGAAUCUUCCGCAAUGGGCGAAAGCCUGACGGAGCAACGCCGCGUGAGUGAUGAAGGUCUUCGGAUCGUAAAACUCUGUUAUUAGGGAAGAACAAAUGUGUAAGUAACUAUGCACGUCUUGACGGUACCUAAUCAGAAAGCCACGGCUAACUACGUG